Molecule: long non-coding RNA, 262 nt
Filed under: Elaeis guineensis (African oil palm)
Lineage: Eukaryota; Viridiplantae; Streptophyta; Magnoliopsida; Arecales; Arecaceae
Description: long non-coding RNA (EGUI_LNC073973)
Source: RNAcentral
GGACAGUUAAUGCAGAGCAAGUAUAUCUUAGUUUCAAUUGAUGACGAUGAAGAUAUCGAAGAAAUGCUGAUAUUUUCUUUGAAAUAUUCAGAAUAUCGAUUUUUAGAAUUAUAUAUUGAAAAGGAAGAUGUACCGAGCUUUGAAUACUAUAGUCGGUUUUAACUCAAGCGGACAAUAAUGUUGGGCCUUCCUCACCUUUCGUAACUCCUAUGGUGCAAAUCGAUAGUGUUGAAGCCAUAUUUGCAGAAUAAUAUUCUACUAC